This 345-nucleotide ribosomal RNA is filed under the name Triticum aestivum (bread wheat). Its description in RNAcentral is "partial small subunit ribosomal RNA". Lineage: Eukaryota; Viridiplantae; Streptophyta; Magnoliopsida; Poales; Poaceae. The record is from RNAcentral.
AUGACAACAGUGGAUCUGAAAAAUCUUGGGUACACUGACAAACCAUUCGUCCUAGCCAAUGAUGUGGCACAGGUUAUCUAUGUGAAGGACAUGUCUACCAAACCGAGAAAAAGAAAAGAUAAGGAAGCGAAUACAUCAUACGAUGAGCCAAAGCGCCACAUAGUUCUUUCAGGAAAAAGGGACAUCCUGGGAGUGGACGGCAAGACAGACAUGUCUGAAGAUUAUGAAAAGUUUCAUGAAAUUUCUCCCUUCAAUGUCAAGGAUGACCCAAGCAUCCUGAUAAACAAUGAAGAUUAUCCAUGGUUACGGCGCAAUAAGCAAAUGACACAAGCGAAGAAAAAGUGA